RNAcentral lists this ribosomal RNA (471 nucleotides) under uncultured Chelatococcus sp. Its description in RNAcentral is "bacterial SSU rRNA". It matches the Rfam family "Bacterial small subunit ribosomal RNA", at positions 30 to 517 of the family's 1533-position model. The record is from RNAcentral. Lineage: Bacteria; Pseudomonadati; Pseudomonadota; Alphaproteobacteria; Hyphomicrobiales; Chelatococcaceae.
AUUGAACGCUGGCGGCAGGCUUAACACAUGCAAGUCGAACGCAUUCCUUCGGGGAUGAGUGGCAGACGGGUGAGUACCACGUGGGAACGUACCUUCCAGUUCGGAAUAACACAGGGAAACUUGUGCUAAUACCGGAUACGUCCGAGAGGAGAAAGAUUUAUUGCUGGAAGAUCGGCCCGCGUCUGAUUAGCUUGUUGGUGAGGUAAUGGCUCACCAAGGCGACGAUCAGUAGCUGGUCUGAGAGGAUGAUCAGCCACACUGGGACUGAGACACGGCCCAGACUCCUACGGGAGGCAGCAGUGGGGAAUAUUGGACAAUGGGGGAACCCUGAUCCAGCCAUGCCGCGUGUGUGAAGAAGGCCUUAUGGUUGUAAAGCACUUUUAAGCGAGGAGGAGGCUCUCUUGGUUAAUACCCAAGAUGAGUGGACGUUACUCGCAGAAUAAGCACCGGCUAGCUCUGUGCCAGCAGCCG